UUGGACUGGCGGGGUACUAUACAUGCAAGUCGAACGCGUCUCCGUUGAUGAUUUUAGGUGCUUGCACUUGAAAGAUUUAACAUUGAGACGAGUGGCGAACUGGUGAGUAACACGUGGGUAACCUGCCCUUGAAGUAGGGGAUAACACUUGGAAACAGGUGCUAAUACCGUAUAACAACCAAAACCACCUGGUUUUGGUUUAAAAGACGGCUUCGGCUGUCACUUUAGGAUGGACCCGCGGCGUAUUAGCUUGUUGGUAAGGUAACGGCCUACCAAGGCGAUGAUACGUAGCCGACCUGAGAGGGUAAUCGGCCACAUUGGGACUGAGACACGGCCCAAACUCCUACGGGAGGCAGCAGUAGGGAAUCUUCCACAAUGGACGAAAGUCUGAUGGAGCAACGCCGCGUGAGUGAUGAAGGGUUUCGGCUCGUAAAACUCUGUUGUUGGAGAAGAACAGGUGUCAGAGUAACUGUUGACAUCUUGACGGUAUCCAACCAGAAAGCCACGGCUAACUACGUGCCAGCAGCCGCGGUAAUACGUAGGUGGCAAGCGUUGUCCGGAUUUAUUGGGCGUAAAGCGAGCGCAGGCGGUUUUUUAGGUCUGAUGUGAAAGCCUUCGGCUUAACCGGAGAAGUGCAUCGGAAACCGGGAGACUUGAGUGCAGAAGAGGACAGUGGAACUCCAUGUGUAGCGGUGAAAUGCGUAGAUAUAUGGAAGAACACCAGUGGCGAAGGCGGCUGUCUGGUCUGUAACUGACGCUGAGCUCGAAAGCAUGGGUAGCGAACAGGAUUAGAUACCCUGGUAGUCCAUGCCGUAAACGAUGAGUGCUAAGUGUUGGAGGGUUUCCGCCCUUCAGUGCUGCAGCUAACGCAUUAAGCACUCCGCCUGGGGAGUACGACCGCAAGUUGAAACUCAAAGGAAUUGACGGGGGCCCGCACAGCGUGAGCAUGUGGUUUAAUCGAUGCUACGCGAAGAACUACAGUCUGACAUCUCUGCACUAAG
Molecule: ribosomal RNA, 1000 nt
Filed under: Lentilactobacillus buchneri
Lineage: Bacteria; Bacillati; Bacillota; Bacilli; Lactobacillales; Lactobacillaceae
Description: bacterial SSU rRNA
Rfam family: Bacterial small subunit ribosomal RNA
Source: RNAcentral